GACGAACGCUGGCGGCGUGCCUAAUAUAUGCAAGUAGAACGCUGAAGCUUGGUGCUUGCACCGAGCGGAUGAGUUGCGAACGGGUGAGUAACGCGUAGGUAACCUGCCUGGUAGCGGGGGAUAACUAUUGGAAACGAUAGCUAAUACCGCAUAAGAGUAGAUGUUGCAUGACAUUUGCUUAAAAGGUGCAAUUGCAUCACUACCAGAUGGACCUGCGUUGUAUUAGCUAGUUGGUGAGGUAACGGCUCACCAAGGCAACGAUACAUAGCCGACCUGAGAGGGUGAUCGGCCACACUGGGACUGAGACACGGCCCAGACUCCUACGGGAGGCAGCAGUAGGGAAUCUUCGGCAAUGGACGGAAGUCUGACCGAGCAACGCCGCGUGAGUGAAGAAGGGUUUCGGAUCGUAAAGCUCUGUUGUAAGAGAAGAACGAGUGUGAGAGUGGAAAGUUCACACUGUGACGGUAUCUUACCAGAAAGGGACGGCUAACUACGUG
Molecule: ribosomal RNA, 497 nt
Filed under: uncultured bacterium
Lineage: Bacteria
Description: partial 16S ribosomal RNA
Rfam family: Bacterial small subunit ribosomal RNA
Source: RNAcentral